Molecule: ribosomal RNA, 301 nt
Filed under: uncultured bacterium
Lineage: Bacteria
Description: partial 16S ribosomal RNA
Rfam family: Bacterial small subunit ribosomal RNA
Source: RNAcentral
AGUCGCCGCGGUAACACGAAGGGGGCUAGCGUUGCUCGGAAUGACUGGGCGUAAAGGGCGCGUAGGCGGAUGGUACAGUCAGAUGUGAAAUUCCUGGGCUUAACCUGGGGGCUGCAUUUGAUACGUAUUGUCCAGAGUGAGGAAGAGGGUCGUGGAAUUCCCAGUGUAGAGGUGAAAUUCGUAGAUAUUGGGAAGAACACCGGUGGCGAAGGCGGCGACCUGGUCCUUGACUGACGCUGAGGCGCGAAAGCGUGGGGAGCAAACAGGAUUAGAUACCCCUGUAGUCCCUGUCUCUUAUACA